GCGGCCGUAGUAUAGGGGUAGUACGACAGCUUGCCAAGCUGUAGGCGGGGGUUCGAGUCCCCUCGGCCGCUCCA
This 74-nucleotide transfer RNA is filed under the name Bacillota bacterium. RNAcentral's name for it is "tRNA-Gly". It matches the Rfam family "tRNA". From Rfam's summary of the family: Transfer RNA (tRNA) molecules are approximately 80 nucleotides in length. Their secondary structure includes four short double-helical elements and three loops (D, anti-codon, and T loops). Further hydrogen bonds mediate the characteristic L-shaped molecular structure. tRNAs have two regions of fundamental functional importance: the anti-codon, which is responsible for specific mRNA codon recognition, and the 3' end, to which the tRNAs corresponding amino acid is attached (by aminoacyl-tRNA synthetases). tRNAs cope with the degeneracy of the genetic code in two manners: having more than one tRNA (with a specific anti-codon) for a particular amino acid; and 'wobble' base-pairing, i.e. permitting non-standard base-pairing at the 3rd anti-codon position. Lineage: Bacteria; Bacillati; Bacillota. The record is from RNAcentral. RNAcentral also lists the same sequence under 13 other names.